This 86-nucleotide transfer RNA is filed under the name Candidatus Improbicoccus devescovinae. RNAcentral's name for it is "tRNA-Leu". It matches the Rfam family "tRNA". From Rfam's summary of the family: Transfer RNA (tRNA) molecules are approximately 80 nucleotides in length. Their secondary structure includes four short double-helical elements and three loops (D, anti-codon, and T loops). Further hydrogen bonds mediate the characteristic L-shaped molecular structure. tRNAs have two regions of fundamental functional importance: the anti-codon, which is responsible for specific mRNA codon recognition, and the 3' end, to which the tRNAs corresponding amino acid is attached (by aminoacyl-tRNA synthetases). tRNAs cope with the degeneracy of the genetic code in two manners: having more than one tRNA (with a specific anti-codon) for a particular amino acid; and 'wobble' base-pairing, i.e. permitting non-standard base-pairing at the 3rd anti-codon position. Lineage: Bacteria; Bacillati; Bacillota; Clostridia. The record is from RNAcentral.
GCCGACGUGUUGGAAUGGUAGACGAGACGGACUCAAAAUCCGUUGCAGGCGACUGUGUGUGGGUUCAAGUCCCACUGUCGGCACCA